This 174-nucleotide ribosomal RNA is filed under the name uncultured bacterium. RNAcentral describes it as "partial 16S ribosomal RNA". It matches the Rfam family "Bacterial small subunit ribosomal RNA", at positions 1319 to 1500 of the family's 1533-position model. The record is from RNAcentral.
CAUGAAGUUGGAUUCGCUAGUAAUCGCGCAUCAGCCAUGGCGCGGUGAAUACGUUCCCGGGCCUUGUACACACCGCCCGUCAAGCCAUGGAAGCCGGGGGUGCCUGAAGUCCGUAACCGCGAGGAUCGGCCUAGGGCAAAACUGGUAACUGGGGCUAAGUCGUAACAAGGUAAC